Molecule: ribosomal RNA, 484 nt
Filed under: uncultured bacterium
Lineage: Bacteria
Description: partial 16S ribosomal RNA
Rfam family: Bacterial small subunit ribosomal RNA
Source: RNAcentral
AUUGAACGCUGGCGGCAGGCCUAACACAUGCAAGUCGAGCGGAUGAAGGGAGCUUGCUCCUGGAUUCAGCGGCGGACGGGUGAGUAAUGCCUAGGAAUCUGCCUGGUAGUGGGGGACAACGUCCGGAAACGGGCGCUAAUACCGCAUACGUCCUGAGGGAGAAAGUGGGGGAUCUUCGGACCUCACGCUAUCAGAUGAGCCUAGGUCGGAUUAGCUAGUUGGUGGGGUAAAGGCCUACCAAGGCGACGAUCCGUAACUGGUCUGAGAGGGUGAUCAGUCACACUGGAACUGAGACACGGUCCAGACUCCUACGGGAGGCAGCAGUGGGGAAUAUUGGACAAUGGGCGAAAGCCUGAUCCAGCCAUGCCGCGUGUGUGAAGAAGGUCUUCGGAUUGUAAAGCACUUUAAGUUGGGAGGAAGGGCAGUAAGUUAAUACCUUGCUGUUUUGACGUUACCAACAGAAUAAGCACCGGCUAACUUCGUG